AGAAAACACAUCAUGACAUAUUUAGUGAAAUAUUUAGUCUUCCAUAGUUGAUUAUGUAAUGAUAAUAUCUUGAAGAAUUAUCUAUUACCGAUAUGCACUGUGUUAGUGAAGAAUGUUUGAAGACCGAGAGAUUAAACUGUUACUUGGAGAGCUUUAAUAUUUCUUUUAUUCUAUGUUUUGUUGGCAAUUAUAUAUCACUAAUCUUACCCUCUUAGGACUUUAGAAUUGAAUCCGGCAUCCUUCAUUAAUACACAUCAAAUACUUUUUAAUUUUAUUUGUACACACAAUUGUAGACUUGAAUAAAUUAUAGGUUUUAAAAGGCUUGAAC
Molecule: long non-coding RNA, 328 nt
Filed under: Vitis vinifera (wine grape)
Lineage: Eukaryota; Viridiplantae; Streptophyta; Magnoliopsida; Vitales; Vitaceae
Description: long non-coding RNA (VVIN_LNC002466)
Source: RNAcentral